This 2037-nucleotide ribosomal RNA is filed under the name human gut metagenome. RNAcentral describes it as "bacterial LSU rRNA". It matches the Rfam family "Bacterial large subunit ribosomal RNA", at positions 803 to 2925 of the family's 2925-position model. The record is from RNAcentral.
GAUGAACUGUGGGUAGCGGAGAAAUUCCAAUCGAACCCGGAGAUAGCUGGUUCUCCCCGAAAUAGUUUUAGGACUAGCCUCAAGUUAGAUACCUGGAGGUAAAGCACUGAAUAGCCUAGCGGCCGAGAGGUUAGCGAAGCUUAUCAAACUCAGAAUGCCAGAGUAUUGAUGCUUGGGAGUCAGACAGUGUCAGAUAAAUGUCAUUGUCAAAAGGGAAACAGCCCAGAUCUACAGCUAAGGUCCCAAAGUCAGGUUAAGUGGAAAACGAUGUGAAGAUACGCAGACAACCAGGAUGUUGGCUCAGAAGCAGCCACUCAUUCAAAGAGUGCGUAAUAGCUCACUGGUCGAGCGUCUUUGCGCGGAGAAUUUAACGGGGCUAAACCUGACACCGAAGCUUAGGCAGCAUGUUUACAUGCUGGGUAGGGGAGCGUUGUAUACGCGGUGAAACAGUAGCGCAAGCGGCUGUGGAGUGUAUAGAAGUGAGAAUGCCGGAAUGAGUAGCGCGAAUGCAGUGAGAAUCUGCAUGGCCGAAAGCCUCAGGUUUUUGGAGGAAGGUUCGUCCGCUCCAAGUUAGUCGGGAGCUAAGGUGAGGCCGGAAGGCGUAGCCGAUGCACAGACGGUAGAGAUUCCGUCACCACCAAAAGAGUUAAGCACAGGGACACAUUUGAAGUCUCAGAGCCGGGUGUUGGUUCCGGUAGAGAUCGAGGGAAAUUAGUACCGAAGUCUGGGAUGGAAGAUGGCGAGAAAAGCUGUGUGUAUUUCUGAGGUGCCCGUACCGCAAACCGACACAGGUAGGUAGGAAGAAGAUUCUAAGGCCAACGGGAGAAGGGUUGUUAAGGAACUCGGCAAAUUGACCCCGUAACUUCGGGAGAAGGGGUGCUGCAGCAAUGCAGCCGCAGAGAAUCGGCCCAAGCAACUGUUUACCAAAAACACAGGUUUGUGCUAAAUCGAAAGAUGACGUAUACGAGCUGACGCCUGCCCGGUGCUGGAAGGUUAAAAGGAGAUGUGCAAGCAUUGAAUUGAAGCCCCAGUGAACGGCGGCCGUAACUAUAACGGUCCUAAGGUAGCGAAAUUCCUUGUCAGGUAAGUUCUGACCCGCAUGAAAGGCGUAAUGAUUUGGGCACUGUCUCAACAGCCCGCCCGGCGAAAUUGUAGUACCGGUGAAGAUGCCGGUUACCCGCGACAAGACGGAAAGACCCCAUGGAGCUUUACUGUAGCCUAAUAUUGGGUUUCGAUGUUGCAUGCACAGGAUAGAUGGGACACUGGGAAACAAUCGCUUUGGCGGUUGCGGAGUGGCCGUUGGGAUACCAUCCUUGCGAUAUUGGAAUUCUAACCUGCGGCUCUGAAUCGAGUCGGGGGACAUUGUUAGGUGGGCAGUUUGACUGGGGCGGUCGCCUCCUAAAAAGUAACGGAGGCGUUCAAAGGUUCGCUCAGCUUGAACGGAAAUCAAGCAAAAGAGUGCAAACGCAGAAGCGAGCCUAACUGCGAGACUGACGGGUCGAGCAGUAACGAAAGUUGGAGUUAGUGAUCCGGUGGUAUGUGAGUGGAAAUGCCAUCGCUCAACGGAUAAAAGUUACCCUGGGGAUAACAGGCUGAUCUCCCCCAAGAGUCCACAUCGACGGGGAGGUUUGGCACCUCGAUGUCGGCUCAUCGCAUCCUGGGGCUGUAUUCGGUCCCAAGGGUUUGGCUGUUCGCCAAUUAAAGCGGUACGCGAGCUGGGUUCAGAACGUCGUGAGACAGUUCGGUCCCUAUCUGUCGUGGGCGCAGGAUAUUUGAUGGGAGCUGUUCCUAGUACGAGAGGACCGGAGCGGACGUACCUCUGGCGCACCAGUUGUUCUGCCAAGAGCAUAGCUGGGCAACUAUGUACGGAUCGGAUAAACGCUGAAAGCAUCUAAGCGUGAAGCCGACCCAAAGAUAAGAUAUCCCAUUGUUUCAAACAAGUAAGACCCCUUGAAGACUACAAGGUUGAUAGGCACGAUGUGUAAGUGGAGCGAUCCAUUCAGCAAGCGUGUACUAAUAGGUCGAGGGCUUGACCAC